This 255-nucleotide ribosomal RNA is filed under the name uncultured Pseudomonas sp. RNAcentral's name for it is "partial 16S ribosomal RNA". It matches the Rfam family "Bacterial small subunit ribosomal RNA", at positions 96 to 354 of the family's 1533-position model. Lineage: Bacteria; Pseudomonadati; Pseudomonadota; Gammaproteobacteria; Pseudomonadales; Pseudomonadaceae. The record is from RNAcentral.
CGGCGGACGGGUGAGUAAUGCCUAGGAAUCUGCCUGGUAGUGGGGGACAACGUUUCGAAAGGAACGCUAAUACCGCAUACGUCCUACGGGAGAAAGCAGGGGCCUUCGGGCCUUGCGCUAUCAGAUGAGCCUAGGUCGGAUUAGCUAGUUGGUGAGGUAAUGGCUCACCAAGGCGACGAUCCGUAACUGGUCUGAGAGGAUGAUCAGUCACACUGGAACUGAGACACGGUCCAGACUCCUACGGGAGGCAGCAGA